Andrographis paniculata is the source of this 4761-nucleotide long non-coding RNA. RefSeq lists it as uncharacterized. The record is from RefSeq and is a predicted model, not a curated record. The transcript has 9 exons. NCBI's taxonomy places the organism in Eukaryota, Viridiplantae, Streptophyta, Magnoliopsida, Lamiales, Acanthaceae.
UGUCCCUCUUGUAUGAUAAAAAUUGAAGCGGACGUCUGUUCUUGGGAACUCCGCACGCAAGCGGUGACUCGAAGUCCUCUCUACACCGCUGCUACUAGAGAUGUGAAAGCUGAUGUCUUCUCCUAGCCAUAGGAAACCACCGCUCAAGCCAUGGGGUCGCCGCUUGCGCGAUUCUCAAAUUCCUUCAUCAGCCAAGCGGCGAAAACAAGCAGGAAAGGUGAGCGGUCUGCAGCUAAGCCAAUUUCAGGCAAUUGCAGCGAAGCGACUGUAUGUAAAGCGGCACAGAACAGUCCCUCCUGCAAGCGAAGCUAUGAAUUUAUUCUUCUUUAUUUUGGACAAAAGUUCAUUUCGUUUGUCGGCGUCUACAAAGAAAAUUCCCAAACAUAGUCUUAGGAGAAAGAGAUUUCAGAUUUCGAAUCAAUAGCCAUAAUUCCAGCCCUAAUCCUUCACUGUAAUCCCACAAUUCAUUCACCACAAUUCAUUCACUGGGAUGAUGAAGUCGCCCGUCACCUUCCCCAUUUCCAGCAGCUUCUAAAUCCUCAAUUAUUCCUUCCACACAGAGAUGGUAAACAUCGAGAAAAGGAUUAAUCGAUAAUUUAAGACAAGAUACGAACAACCUCCAAGGGCUGAUUGCAGGCUGUGUUGGAUUCAUUUGAUUUGAGGAUUGAUAAUUGAGGGCAUUCGAUAAAAAUCUGCAUACAACAGUCGCUGGUGGUUGCAAAAUCUGAAAUUUUCAGAUUCAUUCUGUGGUGAAUUGACGCUGAGGAGGAGACUGCUUUGAAAAUUCCGAAGCAAGAAGACUCAUGUAACUUUGAAAAGGGAGUUUUAGUGUAUCUCUUGAAUUCUUUGACAAAUAAUGUGACUGUAUCUCAUCUUUUGCUGCUAAAAAUAAUGUUUGUUUUGAUUGCAGUCCCUCCUGAGCUUACUCAAGGUUGUUCGAGGGCGAACAACAACUCAAGUGUGAGGAGGGAAGUCAUCGGCACCAAAAAAAAUUUUGAAAAAAAAAAUCUGGCUGCAAGACAUGAAUGAGGGAAGUUAUUGAUUCCCUUAUUGAUUAUUUAUGCCGUUAAUUUAUUGAUUGCUAAUUUGUUGGUUUGUAGAAUAAUUGCUUCUUAGAUAAUUAGUAGUUGUAAAUCUAGUUGAUUAGGAUAAUUUUCAUAUUAAUGGUUAGAAGCUAUGUAAUAUAUUAGUUUGCUGCACUUAGUUUUCUUAGUUUAAUCCUUAGUUAUGGUUAGACAAUUAGCAUAGUUAGUUUGUUGUUUGUUAGUCUUAGUCGCUUCCAGUUAGUUCGGUUAGCACUAGUUGAGAUAGGUGUAGAAUUAGUUUGCUUAAUUAGUUAGAUUUGUCCAAUUCUAUAUUGUUAAUUAGUUUUUAGCUUUAGAUAUUAUGCUGUUUUAGUUCAAUUUUGUUUGUAAUAUUCUGUAUGUUAGAUUAGGUUAGUAUUUUGUAAUUUAUGUUGUAUAUUGAAUUAUAUUGUGCUGCUCUUUUAGUUAGUAGUUAGUUGUAAUCUAGUCGUUAUUAACAUAGUUUAGUCGAUAUAGUGAGUUUUCUGCUGUGAAUUGGUGUUCUGAUAGUGUUGUAUGUUAGCUUAGUAUUAUCUUAGAUUACUCUAGUCUAGCUUGUUUUGUAGGUCUGCUUUUAAGUUUAGUUAUAUUAGUUGUGUUUUUUAAUUGUUGCAAUAUAAGUUCCAGCUCAAACUUGCUGCUUGUUUAUUCCUGUGAUUUGCUGUAAUUCUUCCUGCAUAUUAGAUUAGUUUAUCAUAUUGCUGCGGCUUGUUUGCUGCUUUUAUUUAUUUUUUUUUUUUUUCUGACUUAGCUUGAAUUUGCUAGUUUUAUUUAACUUUUUUUAGAUAGCUUUAGUUUAGGUUAUUAUCUAAUUUAAUUGACCCUCUUAGUGUUGAUAAUGAUGUAGUUAUGUUAUGUUGUUUUUAGUCUACCUGCCAUGGAUUGCUAAUUAGGUUAGAUGAGUGUAGAAUUAGUUUGUUUAAUUUUACUGAUUAAUAUUAUUGCCAGUUAAUUAUUUAAUUGUUCUAACCUAUAUGUUGUAUUUGCAUAUUCACAUAUUUCCUGAGUUCGACCGGACACUCACCGGUUAAAGAUAUUUUUUAUUUUUGACGAAAUUUUUGGAGCUACUACACGAACACGCACGAAACUAUUUUUAUUUUAUACCUAUAUCAUUUUUUUUUUGUAUCUUAAAAGAUAUUUUUAAAAAUCUCCAAAAUUCUUCGAUCAAUAAUAUUGCAUCUGAAAAAAAAUAUGAGACUAAUGUCGUUGGAUGGAACAAGACGAUCAGAUCACGAACCGCAAAACUUCGCAAAUUGGAUAAAUAAGGUUGGGGAGGGGAAAACCAAAUUCUUGCGUUUUGAUGAUGAUACUGAAUCUGAUUGGAUUGAAAUGCCUUCAGCAUUUCUGAUAAAUGAAAAUCGAAAUGGUAUCCACUCCUUAAUAAGCGAAACAUAUCCAAAAUUAAAAGAACGGUACAACUCAAUGAUGUUAUCCAUGCUGCCAGGUGAACCACGACAAUACUAUAGUGUUGAUAGCAUAAUCCCUGGGGAAGCGCAACAUACAAAUGAAAAUAUACAUUAUGUAGAGUUGCUGAAUACUAUAAAUAUUUUAGGUUUCCUAAACCAUUGUUUGGAAUUGAAAGAAGGAGCACUAGUAAUCCUUCUUUGGAAUUUCAACCAAUCUUUGGGCCUAUGCAAUGGAACUCGACUUACAAUACUAAAGUUGGGCAACAAAGUUUUGUCGGCACGGAUUAUGAACGGUUCACAUAUGGGGGAAGACGUGCUAAUACCACACAUUGUAUUCACAACAAGUGCAAGUCAAACAUUCGUUCAAAUGAAAAGAAGACAAUUCCCGGUUAAAUGGCGUUUGCAAUGACGAUUAAUAAAAGUCAAGGACAAACACUUGAAAAUGUUGGACUGUACUUGUCAAACCCUGUAUUUUGCCAUGGGAUGCUAUAUGUUGCACUAUCAAGAGUUACGCAUCCAAGAGGGUUAAAAAUACUCAUUCAUAAUAAAGAUGGUGUACCAGAAAAUGCUAUUAGAAAUAUAGUAUAUCUAGAAGUACUCGCUUCUCUGAUAACGUAAGAGUUAUUUUCUAUUACAAUUUAUUCAAAUAAUAAUGCAAAGAAUUUUUUUGUCUUAUUCAUAAAAUAAUUAUGUCAUUAUUUAUAAUGGUAUAUUGCUAUUUGUCCAUAUAAAUUUACAGGCCGUACAUGUGAAGAAUAUUCAGAUAUUGCGAGUUUGACUCUCGAGUGCUAUGAUGCUACUAUAAAAGCACGAUUGAUUCGAUUGGUGGACACACGAUUUCCAAGAUCGAAUAUUCGAAUUUUGAAGCUUUUAUUCAUUGACGCCUAUGGAUUCACAAUACAAGGUGCGUGGUACACGAAAUGAACAUUCCUAUUCUACUUCCAAAACUUCACGAAGGCAACGUGUACCGUAUUCAUAAAAUGAAGGUAAUAAUUGCUGACAAUAAACACAAAAUAGUACCCCAGCCAUUCCAGUUACUGCUGCGUCAAGACACAAUUAUUGAACAUGCAGUUGAUCAAAAUGGUAUCUUCCCAAAAGAUUUUGUUAAUAUUAUCUCCUUAAAUGAUAUGAAAUCUUAUGUAGAUAUGGAGGAUCAAUUGAUUGGUAAGUUUUACUUAUAAUAUAUACUAGAUAUAUAUCAUUGUUAUUUACUUUCAUAUAACAUGUGUGCAGAUAUUAUAGAAUUGUUGCCAUGUAGAUGAUUCUUUUGUGUUUAAAGAUGGCCACCAAACGUGCGGAGUUAUACUUCUGGAUAAAAGUUUGACAACAGUUCCAGUAAUUUUGAAAGGGAAUCUAGCCAUGACUAACGAGGAUAAAUUGAAAGCAACGAUGAAGGAAGAAACAACGUUACUCGCAUGUGGUGUCCUGGUGAAAUCAGUCCAAUUGUUUAUACGCAUCAUUUCACAAAAUUGUAUAUAAACAAUGAUACGCCACACAUGGAUGAUCUUCGUAACUGUUUAUAUAUAUAGGUUCACACGCAAUCGCUCUGCACAAAAAAUUAUGGAAUUCAUUAGGUCGAGAAUAUUUUCGAUGCCAGAAUUAUUGAACAUAACAAAUUCCGAAAGAAUUAAGAUCGCUAAUUUGCGAUAUCAAAAUGAGGUGAAAUUUUAUCGUGUGCUUGCACGCAUUAAACGAGUCGAUGGGGGGAAAGUAUGGAAUAUUUUAUUCGAUCCAUCAUUGUAUCCGAUCCCCUUAGAAAUAUACGACAGUACUGGAACAUUGGCAUUAAAAUUGAAAUAUGCUCACCUAAAUUUCAUGUUCCGACUAGAUCUUCCCUUCGUGCGCAACUUUAUGCUGACAGGUUCGCAAUAUAUUACACGUUGAUUGGUGUGAGGAAUGUGCUCAUGUGUUUAUCAGAUCUUCGUUCGUGAGAUAGCCGUCACACCGUCGGAUACUUUCGCAACCUGAUUUCUUAGACCACCGCCGCAUAGCCUAGACUUUUGUAAUCAUGAUCUUGACCAACAAAUCAUGCUGCACCGCCCACUCAGCCGACUGGGUUGAGCUAUUUGGUCACUCCCUCCCGUUGACAUCCCGCACCAACAUCGGAUUCUGGAAAGAUUAGGCUAAUUGAAGGUUAUUUGCAUUAUCUUCUACCUAACUUUUGUAUGUAGUUAUGCUAUUUUGUUGAUGCUAUCAAUAGUGAAUUCUUCUUAUGUAAACAACGAUAUGAUGCAACUAUAUACAACUUUGAUUUUUCUUAUUUUGUGCUUUCAUAUUGAUUGGAUUGUUGA